UGGGGAAUUUUGGACAAUGGGGGCAACCCUGAUCCAGCAAUGCCGCGUGAGUGAAGAAGGCCUUCGGGUUGUAAAGCUCUUUUGUCCGGGAAGAAACGGAUUUCUCUAACAUAGGAAUCUACUGACGGUACCGGAAGAAUAAGCACCGGCUAACUACGUGCCAGCAGCCGCGGUAAUACGUAGGGUGCAAGCGUUAAUCGGAAUUACUGGGCGUAAAGCGUGCGCAGGCGGUUUCGUAAGUCAGCUGUGAAAUCCCCGGGCUUAACCUGGGAAUGGCAGUUGAGACUGCGAGGCUAGAGUGUGUCAGAGGGGGGUAGAAUUCCACGUGUAGCAGUGAAAUGCGUAGAGAUGUGGAGGAAUACCGAUGGCGAAGGCAGCCCCCUGGGAUAACACUGACGCUCAUGCACGAAAGCGUGGGGAGCAAACAGGAUUAGAUACCCGUGUAGUCC
RNAcentral lists this ribosomal RNA (449 nucleotides) under uncultured bacterium. RNAcentral's name for it is "bacterial SSU rRNA". It matches the Rfam family "Bacterial small subunit ribosomal RNA", at positions 355 to 796 of the family's 1533-position model. The record is from RNAcentral.